Molecule: ribosomal RNA, 505 nt
Filed under: uncultured bacterium
Lineage: Bacteria
Description: partial 16S ribosomal RNA
Rfam family: Bacterial small subunit ribosomal RNA
Source: RNAcentral
GACGAACGCUGGCGGCGUGCCUAAUACAUGCAAGUAGAACGCACAGUUUAUACCGUAGCUUGCUACACCAUAGACUGUGAGUUGCGAACGGGUGAGUAACGCGUAGGUAACCUGCCUGGUAGCGGGGGAUAACUAUUGGAAACGAUAGCUAAUACCGCAUAAUAUUAAUUAUUGCAUGAUAAUUAAUUGAAAGGUGCAAUUGCACCACUACCAGAUGGACCUGCGUUGUAUUAGCUAGUAGGUGAGGUAACGGCUCACCUAGGCGACGAUACAUAGCCGACCUGAGAGGGUGAUCGGCCACACUGGGACUGAGACACGGCCCAGACUCCUACGGGAGGCAGCAGUAGGGAAUCUUCGGCAAUGGACGAAAGUCUGACCGAGCAACGCCGCGGGAGUGAAGAAGGUUUUCGGAUCGUAAAGCUCUGUUGUAAGAGAAGAACGGGUGUGAGAGUGGAAAGUUCACACUGUGACGGUAGCUUACCAGAAAGGGACGGGUAACUACGUG